AAUCCAUGCAUCAGACAUUUCCCAAGUAAUUCUUUAAAUCGUUCCCAAGCUUCAUAUAGCAAGUCAUUCUCCGAUUGCUGAAAAGAUGUGAUGUAAUUUCUAAGCUU
Gossypium raimondii (Peruvian cotton) is the source of this 107-nucleotide non-coding RNA. NCBI's taxonomy places the organism in Eukaryota, Viridiplantae, Streptophyta, Magnoliopsida, Malvales, Malvaceae. The record is from Rfam.